This 1801-nucleotide long non-coding RNA is filed under the name Mus musculus (house mouse). Its description in RNAcentral is "long non-coding RNA chr4:147411654-147413455". The record is from RNAcentral. Lineage: Eukaryota; Metazoa; Chordata; Mammalia; Rodentia; Muridae.
GGUGGGGCACCCUCAUAGGAGAAAGGUUGGGGUGGGGAUAGGGGAGUUUCAGCGGGGAAACCAGGAAAGGGGAUAACAUUUGAAAUGUAAACAAAUAAAAUAUCCAAUAAAAAAAAAGAAAAAAGAAAAGUCUUUUCUAAGCAUGUCAUAAGAUAAAGGUGGAACACUCCAUGAAAAAUUAGGGACAAUUUGAAAACCUUGGAGAAAUGCCCUAUAACAAUUCAUAGCAAAAGUGUCAAUUUCUUCUAUAUAUAAGAAAAUCAAUAGGGAAAAAUCGAUAUAAAGAAAACCCAGUACAAAGUACUAUGGUAAAGAUAAAAUAAACAAUACAUUUCCGCUUAUCAUUACCAGUAACACAGGGAAUAAAACUGAAAUAUUAAGAAUUAAAUAUCCAUUUUCUAUGUUAAAAAAAUAUAGAGGUUGUAAAAUUUAAUUUAAUCCAAAACCCUAAGAUAAAGUUAAUGCUUGAUUUUUUGCAUUCAUAUUCUUAAAUAUUAAUUUGUUCUUAGUAAUAUUUACCAAAAACAAAAGAACUUUAAAAACUGUUAUUUUAUCCUUUUACUAAAUGGUCAUUUAAAACCUGUGUCUCAAGUUAGCUUUUCUUAUCCAAAUUAUACAGAAGACAUCAGUCUAAAAGUCUAGUAGCAAUAUUCACAAUGUUUUAUAACUUAAGUAGUGAUGUUUCUUGAUUUAAUUAGUAUCUAAGCUGUCCUAUAAUACAACUAGCUAAGAUUAAAAAGUUAAACAAUUUGUAUCUUACUAAUAAGAAAGGGGGAAGGAUAAUGCUAUACUGACUUCUCCCAAAGUGCUUUUCUAACCAUCUAAAUAUGUUAGUUCAUAUAUUACAAAUAAUUAUAAAUACAGGGGAAAUAUAAAGUCAAUCUGGUUACAAAGUUUGGUUUUAGACAUGUUUCCUUUUUGACCUUCACUCCAUUUUAUCAAACUGUGUUGUUGAUUUCUUAAUUUAGGUAUAGUCAUCUUAGCUCACACGUUAUGUCAGGUACAGAGAGUAUAAAAAAUAAUUCAGGUGCGGAUCCUGAACGAAUGGAUUGAUAUGAUCCAGGAUUUUGUUUCUUAAUGGCCUUUACCAGCUAUUCUCUCUCCUGAAGAUGCUGUCCUGCCCACUAUUCAGCCUCAUCUACAUCAGGUCCUAUGAAUGAGCUUCCUAGUUGUGAGGGAACUUACGAUAUUUAAUAAGUAACAUGUGGAAUUGCUCCUGACCAAAAUGUGAUGUUUGUAGACAAGGGAAUUGUGAAUGACAACUCCUGAGGACCUGACAUCUACAUCAGGUCCUAUGAAUGAGCUUCCUAGUUGUGAGGGAACUUACGAUAUUUAAUAAGUAACAUGUGGCAUUGCUCCUGACCAAAAUGUGAUGCUUUGUAGACAAGGGAAUUGUGAAUGACAACUCCUGAGAGGAGGCUGUGUCUGAGCAGACCGAUUUGAUCUGCAAUACCAUGGAGAGAGUGGAAUGGUGCAGGCUAAUUACCUUGUCUUGGGCUAGUUUUAGCGAGCCCUCCUCCCAGUAGCCAUACCUUACCUACCUCUGUGUCAGAACUAACAUUCUGUGACUAAUAGAUAAAAACCUUUUGAAAUUUACUAACUUAGCAGACUGCUAGCUUCUACCAACCCCAAAGCUACAAAUGUCAUCCAACUAAAUUUGCCUUGAUUUUGCCUUUCUUUGUUCUGUAAAACUGUGAAAUUGCUUCCACAUUGGGACAUAGAGUUGGGUAACUUCAAUCUGUGUUCCUGGACAAUGGUCACUUGAAAUGGCUUCAGAAUAAACUGUCCUCUUAUUUCCUUU